Molecule: ribosomal RNA, 691 nt
Filed under: Ralstonia sp. HBL5
Lineage: Bacteria; Pseudomonadati; Pseudomonadota; Betaproteobacteria; Burkholderiales; Burkholderiaceae
Description: bacterial SSU rRNA
Rfam family: Bacterial small subunit ribosomal RNA
Source: RNAcentral
GAACGCUGGCGGCAUGCCUUACACAUGCAAGUCGAACGGCAGCGCGGACUUCGGUCUGGCGGCGAGUGGCUGAACGGGUGAGUAAUACAUCGGAACGUACCCUGUUGUGGGGGAUAACUAGUCGAAAGAUUAGCUAAUACCGCAUACGACCUGAGGGUGAAAGUGGGGGACCGCAAGGCCUCACGCAGCAGGAGCGGCCGAUGUCUGAUUAGCUAGUUGGUGGGGUAAAGGCCCACCAAGGCGACGAUCAGUAGCUGGUCUGAGAGGACGAUCAGCCACACUGGGACUGAGACACGGCCCAGACUCCUACGGGAGGCAGCAGUGGGGAAUUUUGGACAAUGGGGGCAACCCUGAUCCAGCAAUGCCGCGUGUGUGAAGAAGGCCUUCGGGUUGUAAAGCACUUUUGUCCGGAAAGAAAUCGCGCUGGUUAAUACCUGGCGUGGAUGACGGUACCGGAAGAAUAAGCACCGGCUAACUACGUGCCAGCAGCCGCGGUAAUACGUAGGGUGCGAGCGUUAAUCGGAAUUACUGGGCGUAAAGCGUGCGCAGGCGGUUUUGUAAGACAGGCGUGAAAUCCCCGGGCUUAACCUGGGAAUUGCGCUUGUGACUGCAAGGCUAGAGUGCGUCAGAGGGGGGUAGAAUUCCACGUGUAGCAGUGAAAUGCGUAGAGAUGUGGAGGAAUACCGAUGGC